ACAGAGGGUGCGAGCGUUGUCCGGAAUCACUGGGCGUAAAGGGCGCGUAGGUGGCCACCAUAAGGCCGCGGUGAAAGUUCGGGGCUCAACCCCGGAUCGGCCGCGGCGACUGUGGGGCUUGGGCACGGUAGAGGCAGAUGGAAUUCCGGGUGUAGCGGUGGAAUGCGUAGAGAUCCGGAAGAACACCAGUGGCGAAGGCGGUCUGCUGGGCCGUGGGAUCGUAAGGUCCCUGAAGCCGACACUGAGGCGCGACAGCGUGGGGAGCAAACAGGA
This 273-nucleotide ribosomal RNA is filed under the name uncultured prokaryote. RNAcentral describes it as "partial 16S ribosomal RNA". It matches the Rfam family "Bacterial small subunit ribosomal RNA", at positions 525 to 777 of the family's 1533-position model. The record is from RNAcentral.